AUUGAACGCUGGCGGCAGGCUUAACACAUGCAAGUCGAACGAGUGGCGGACGGGUGAGUAAUGCUUGGGAAUCUAGCUUAUGGAGGGGGAUAACUACGGGAAACUGUAUCUAAUAACGCGUACCAUAAGAUGAACCCAAGUGGGAGUAGGUAGUUGGUGAGGUAACGGCUCACCAAGCCGACGAUCUCUAGCUGGUCUGAGAGGAGGACCGGCAACACUGGGACUGAGACACGGCCAAGACUCCUACGGGAGGAAGCAGUGGGGAACAUUGCGAAAGGGCGGCAACCUGACGCAGCCAUGCCGCGUGAAUGAAGAAGGCCUUCGGGUGGUAAAGUUCUUUCGGUAGCGAGGCGUUAACUACAGAAGAAGCACCGGCUAACUCCGUGCCAGCCGCCGCGGUAAUUC
Molecule: ribosomal RNA, 405 nt
Filed under: uncultured bacterium
Lineage: Bacteria
Description: partial 16S ribosomal RNA
Rfam family: Bacterial small subunit ribosomal RNA
Source: RNAcentral